CCUCAAAUGCAAAAUGUGUAGGAAAAAGUUCCCUAAGCCUGUUCUUCGUCUGUCGCCAUGAAUGAUAUUAGUGUCUCUGCAGUCACCUGUAAGGAACUGGAGGUGGAGGUUUCCUGUUACCUUCCAUCCCUGUCCUCCCACCCACAUCCACAUCCUGCUCACAGCUAACCUAAGCUUUAUCUAAACUUCUUUAAUUAUCUCAUAUUUGUCCACUUUCUCCUGUCCUAUUUCUACUCCUUCUCCUACUCCCUUAACCAGUGAGGCCCUUGCCAUUUCUUGACUGAACUAUUUCAAUAGCCUGGGGGCUGGUGCAUCUUCCUCAAGCCUCAGCUCUCAUCAGUCUCACCUUACACUUGUUUCUAAAGUGAGAUUUUACAUAGAAGAUGACUCCCCAAAGCAUUUGAUUUGGGGGAACAGAUUUUAAAAAUCCCUCAGUAAUGCAUUACCGUCUCUCCUUUUAACUGUGCUACAGUGGUCCAGUCAUCACCCACCCUUUUCCGCCUCUACACGUGUUGUGAUGCUCUCUAAGUCUGUGAUCUGUACAUACUGUUUCUGUCAAAACCCCCAUUCCCACUCCUAGGGAUUCUUAUUUAUUUCCCACAUUUCAGUUUGUUAGUUAUCUCCCUCUACAGCUACCCAUAUUUCUACAGACAUAGAGCAUUACUAGGGUAAAAUAAACUUGAUAUAUAGACAAGAGAUACAAGAGGAAGAUUAGGUGAAGGUAACUGUAAUAUAGAAAGGCUAGACUAGGACUGGGGAUCAUGAAAGCUGUUAGGGAGGCGAGGCAGAGUACGCAUAAAAUACAAAAGCCAGCUCUGGGUAGAAAAAAAUAAAGGAAGUCUUAUUGUCUAAGUAUCAGAAUGGACCAGAUGUGAGAAAUGCUGCUAGGGGUCUGGGUUGUCUUAGGUAUGGGGGGGAUUAGGAAGAUGGGUAUAUUGGGUGGAAAGAAAACAGGGGAGACGAUUCCUUGAAGGGGAUGGAGCAGGUAACAGGAUCCACUUACUUUAUUCAGAUAGCUUUGACCCAGAAUCCUUCUAAGAUGACCUGCUAGAUAGGAUAAGACUUAAAGUGUGUAUAUAAAAGAAAGCUGAAGCAACAGGACAAGGAAAUGCUGCAGAGACCCUACCUUCUCUUCCUCCUGUAAUCAGAGAGCACUGCCAAAGCAGGACGGUUUCUUUUAUCUGACUCCCUCUGGAAGUCCUCACUUUGCCCUCCUCCUGCGGAUGUUUCCAGAGGACUCUAAAUCCAGAGCCCAAUAGAGCGUGGAGAUACGAGGGGCGGGGGUGGGGAGAAGACGGCGGCAGAUGACAGGCAAGGAUAGGUUUGGGAAACAGGAAAGAGAGGUUACCAGCAAAGCUCCAUGAACUGAGAGUGUCACAACCCCCCACAACCUCGUAGAUCCCCUCCCCUUGCCUUCUCCCUCCUUUGCAGUCUCGCCUUCCUUCUAUCCUGCACAUCCCUGCUCGGAGGAGAGCCUUAGGCUUUAGUCCAGGUCAACCUGGGCUUGUAUCCUGGAUCACUUAUGUCAUCUUGGGCAAUUUACUUCAUCUUUUUAAGCCUUAGAUUCCUAAUCUAUAAAAUGAGGUUAGUAUACCUCACAGAGUUAUUGAAAGGGAUAAAUGUUAUGAUAUAUAGAGGAUGUUUGGGACAUGAUAGGGUCUCAACAAUUCAACACUGUUUGUUCCUUUGUCUCCCGAAUCCAUAUAGGUAGCAUCACUCACGUCCAUGAUUUCAUAGCAGGAGCACUGAAUUGAGAGUUAGGAGCUUCUGGGUUUUAGUUACAUGUUUGUAACUGGUAUUCUGUUUAGUCUAGGGUUUUGUUAUAAAGCAUACAUUACAGAAGUUUUGAGGAUUAAAUAAGAUAAAAGUCUGUGAAAUGUUUGGCACCAUCUCGUCCCUAGUAAGCACGGUAAGUAGAGCUUAACAACGUGGGAUCCACCUUCAGACUAUGUUCAGCUGUGUGACUUUGAAAAAUUAUUUAUUUAGCACCUCUAUGCAUCUGUUUUCUUAUUUGGAAAACAGGAAUAACUCUAACGCCCAUCUCACAGAAUUGAAAAGAUUAAAUAAAUACAUGGGUGCAAAUUUCUUAGAACAGAACCUAGAACACAGUUUUCUCAAGAAAGGUUAGGUAGUGUUCAAGAAAUACUUGAUGAAUUUGAGUCUGUUGAGACUGGAGAGGAAUUAUUAGUGGGAAUGCUGGAUAUUAAGAGAAGGCGUUGCUGUGGCUGUGGUGAAGGCCAGUAGCUGCAGGUCCAAUUUGACCCCUAGCCUGGGAGCUUCCAUAUGCCCUGGGUGUGGCCAUUAAAAAAAAAAAGAGAGAGAGAAAGAGAUUCUUAUAAGUAGUUAGGAGGGAACAGUUCUCAAAGUUUGAGUAAUGAGAACAAAAUGAGUAUGAUUGGCAGGUAUCGUUGUCUGGAUCAGUGUGAGAUCCAUAAGCCUCAUUGACCCUAUGAUAGGAGCCAAACUCAGUUCUCCAGGAAUGGGAAAAAACUGAGGAGAUCAAGAGGAAGUCAAUCCAUAGAAAAUGAUGCAGCAGGGAGGAGGGCAGACCAGCUAGAAAUGCUCCUCAAAUAAAAACCUAAUUUCGAAUAAAACUGUAUAUGCCAUAGUCUUUGUAGUCGGCCCUACCUUGAAUAAGGAAACAUGUAUGUACAUAAAUUAUUUCUGACGUGCUAUGCUCUUAGUUGACAAACCAUCCAAGUCAGUGGUUGCUCGAAUUAGCAGUGAUUUGGCUAAUAUGCUAAUAUUGUUUAAAUGAGGAAUGUUUGCAAACAUUUAGAUUAAGAGGUUGAUGUCAGUUUGCCUUUGGCAUUUACUAUCAGCUAACAGACCACACCAAUAGGCUAAGUAGAACAAGCCAUAAUAAUUUCUCUCUCUCUCUCUCUCUCUCUCUCUAUAUAUAUAUAUAUAUAUAUAUACACACACACUGUUAAAUCCAUGUGAUCAACUCAACAUCCAUGAGGAUAGAGGGAUACAUCCUUAAGAUUAAAAAUUCAGGUUUAGGAGUUCCUGUUGUGGCGCAGUGGAAACAACACCGACUAGGAACCAUGAAGUGGUGGGUUCUAUCCCUGGCCUCACUCAGUGGGUUAAGGAUCUGGUGUUGCUGUGAGCUGUGGUGUAGGUUGCAGGUGUGGCUCAGAUCCUGCGUUACUGUGGCUGUGGUGUAGGCCUGCCGCUGUAGCUCCAAUUGGACCCCUAGCCUGGGAACCUCCAUAUGC
This 3218-nucleotide long non-coding RNA is filed under the name Sus scrofa (pig). RNAcentral's name for it is "lncRNA (ENSSSCG00000062034.1)". The record is from RNAcentral. Lineage: Eukaryota; Metazoa; Chordata; Mammalia; Artiodactyla; Suidae.